CCUGUUUAACAAAAACAUGUCUUUUUGAGUUAUUUUAAAAGUCUGACCUGCCCACUGAAAUUAUUUAAAUGGCCGCAGUAUUCUAACUGUGCAAAGGUAGCAUAAUCAUUAGUCUUUUAAUUGAAGGCUGGUAUGAACGGUUGGACGAGGUAUAAGCUGUUUCAUAUAAAUUUAUAAUAGAAUUUUAUAUUUUAGUCAAAAAGCUAAAAUUUAAUUAAAAGACGAGAAGACCCUAUAAAUCUUUAUAUUUUAAGUUGUUUAAAUUUUUUAGAUUAAUUUUAUUUUUAUAAUUUAGAGUAUUUUGUUGGGGUGAUAUUAAAAUUUAAUGAACUUUUAGUUGUUAAAAUCAUUAAUUUAUGAGUUAUUGAUCCAUUAAUAGUGAUUAUAAGAUUAAGUUACUUUAGGGAUAACAGCGUAAUUUUUUUGGAGAGUUCAUAUCGAUAAAAAAGUUUGCGACCUCGAUGUUGGAUUAAGAUAUAUUUUUAGGUGUAGCCGCUUAAAU
Molecule: ribosomal RNA, 502 nt
Filed under: Bactrocera erubescentis
Lineage: Eukaryota; Metazoa; Arthropoda; Insecta; Diptera; Tephritidae
Description: partial large subunit ribosomal RNA
Rfam family: Bacterial large subunit ribosomal RNA
Source: RNAcentral